GUUGAGUCUUAUUAUCUAUUGCUCCAUUAGCUGAUCUUUUGAUAUUUUUAUUAUUCUGCCCUUGUGUAUCAUUUGAUUUUGCUCUCUUUCUUUGCUUUCUUUCCCUUUCCAUGCAUUCUUCAUUGACUUCUCUUUCAAUUAUCAGUACUUUAUUUACCACAUCUGCAUAAGUUGUCGAUUCAUAUGGAACCACUUGUUUUCGAAUCUCAGUUCUCAGUCCCAUCUCAAACUUGUGAAUACAUUCUUGCUCACCAUCCACUAAUCUCGGAGCAAAUUUUGCUAAC
RNAcentral lists this long non-coding RNA (284 nucleotides) under Elaeis guineensis (African oil palm). RNAcentral's name for it is "long non-coding RNA (EGUI_LNC069910)". Lineage: Eukaryota; Viridiplantae; Streptophyta; Magnoliopsida; Arecales; Arecaceae. The record is from RNAcentral.